UACGUAGGGUGCAAGCGUUAAUCGGAAUACUGGCGUAAGCGUGCGCAGGCGGUGAUGUAAGACAGGUGUGAAAUCCCCGGGCUUAACCUGGGAACUGCAUUUGUGACUGCAUCGCUGGAGUGCGGCAGAGGGGAUGGAAUUCCGCGUGUAGCAGUGAAAUGCGUAGAUAUGCGGAGGAACACCGAUGGCGAAGGCAAUCCCCUGGGCCUGCACUGACGCUCAUGCACGAAGCGUGG
RNAcentral lists this ribosomal RNA (236 nucleotides) under uncultured bacterium. RNAcentral's name for it is "partial 16S ribosomal RNA". It matches the Rfam family "Bacterial small subunit ribosomal RNA", at positions 524 to 764 of the family's 1533-position model. The record is from RNAcentral.